RNAcentral lists this long non-coding RNA (608 nucleotides) under Sorghum bicolor (sorghum). RNAcentral describes it as "long non-coding RNA (SBIC_LNC001689)". The record is from RNAcentral. Lineage: Eukaryota; Viridiplantae; Streptophyta; Magnoliopsida; Poales; Poaceae.
CACCAUUGGAUGGAUCGGCCCUACACCACCAGUUGAUUUGCAUUGAGCCAUGCUAGCAUCAGAGUUCCUUGUACUGCUCAACAGCCAAUCUUGAUCACCAAGAUCUGAACCUUCAUUCUCUAGCGAUAUCGGAUUCCAGGUAACAAACAGAUCUCUGAACUUCUUUUCUUUCUUCUCAGCUUUGCGGAUUUUCUUCCGAUCUGACCGGGAGAGCUUAGUAUCCUGCACUUGAACUGUUUCUGCACUUCUACCAGAGAAGCAAGGCUCUUCUUUUGGCAAAGAGGUGAUGAGAUCCUGCUGCUUGAGAACAGUCAAGUCCUUGGGUUUUUGCAGAACAGGAGGCUGCGGGGCGUCUGGUAGGCAAACAGCAGAUCUCGUUUCUUUCUGUAACACCUUCGCUAACUGAGGAUCAACUUUCUGUGACACCAUGGAAGCUGGACGCUGAACUCCCUGUGACACCAUCUUAACAGGUGGAGGAUCAAAUCUUCCCAUCACUCCAGCAGGUGAAGACGCCACACUUCCCGAAAACUUUGGAGGUAGGUCAGAUCUUCCAACUGGCGCCUUAACAGACAACGGGGGAUGAACCGGAUGUGUGACCUUCGCUGCAG